RNAcentral lists this transfer RNA (73 nucleotides) under Nippostrongylus brasiliensis. It matches the Rfam family "tRNA". Rfam says of the family: Transfer RNA (tRNA) molecules are approximately 80 nucleotides in length. Their secondary structure includes four short double-helical elements and three loops (D, anti-codon, and T loops). The record is from Rfam by way of RNAcentral. Lineage: Eukaryota; Metazoa; Nematoda; Chromadorea; Rhabditida; Heligmosomidae.
GUCUCAGUGGUGUAGUGGUUAACGCAUUGGCCCGGUUAGGCGCGAGACGUGGGUUCGAAUCCCGUCUAAGAUG